UACAGAGGGGGCAAGCGUUGUUCGGAAUUACUGGGCGUAAAGGGCGCGUAGGCGGCCUUCUAAGUCGAACGUGAAAUCCCCGGGCUCAACCCGGGAACUGCGUCCGAUACUGGAAGGCUUGAAUCCGGGAGAGGGAUGCGGAAUUCCAGGUGUAGCGGUGAAAUGCGUUGAUAUCAUCAGGAAUACCGGAGGCGAAGGCGGCUCACUGGGGGUUAUCUGACGCUGAGGAACGAAAGCCAGGGGAGCAAACGGG
This 253-nucleotide ribosomal RNA is filed under the name uncultured bacterium. Its description in RNAcentral is "partial 16S ribosomal RNA". It matches the Rfam family "Bacterial small subunit ribosomal RNA", at positions 524 to 776 of the family's 1533-position model. The record is from RNAcentral.